This 255-nucleotide ribosomal RNA is filed under the name uncultured bacterium. RNAcentral describes it as "partial 16S ribosomal RNA". It matches the Rfam family "Bacterial small subunit ribosomal RNA", at positions 524 to 776 of the family's 1533-position model. The record is from RNAcentral.
UACGAAGGGUGCAAGCGUUACUCGGAAUUACUGGGCGUAAAGCGUGCGUAGGUGGUGAGUUAAGUCUGUCGUGAAAGCCCCCGGGCUCAACCUGGGAAUUGCGAUGGAGACUGCAAGGCUUGAAUCUGGCAGAGGGGGGUAGAAUUCCACGUGUAGCAGUGAAAUGCGUAGAGAUGUGGAGGAACACCGAUGGCGAAGGCAGCCCCCCUGGGUCAAGAUUGACGCUCAUGCACGAAAGCGUGGGGAGCAAACAGG